Crotalus tigris (Tiger rattlesnake) is the source of this 238-nucleotide long non-coding RNA. RefSeq lists it as uncharacterized. The record is from RefSeq and is a predicted model, not a curated record. The transcript has 3 exons. NCBI's taxonomy places the organism in Eukaryota, Metazoa, Chordata, Lepidosauria, Squamata, Viperidae.
CUGGCUGCGCGGCGGCGGCGGCGGCUCCGGGGGAGGGGGGGGAAGAUGGCAGCGUCCUCGUUGGAGCAGAAGCUGUCCCGCUUGGAGGCCAAGCUGAAACAGGAGAACAGGGAAGCCCGCCGGCGCAUCGACCUCAACCUGGAGAUCAGUCCUGCCCGGGCUCGGCCUAUUAUUGUGAUCACUCUAAGCCCUGCUCCCGCUCCAUCCCAACGUGCAGUACAGGAGAUGGAGAAUCCAC